UACGUAGGGGGCUAGCGUUGUCCGGAAUCAUUGGGCGUAAAGCGCGUGUAGGCGGUCCGGUAAGUCCGCUGUGAAAGUCGGGGGCUCAACCCUCGGAUGCCGGUGGAUACUGUCGGGCUUGAGUACGGAAGAGGCGAGUGGAAUUCCUGGUGUAGCGGUGAAAUGCGUAGAGAUCGGGAGGAACAUCAGUUGCGAAGGCGGCUCUCUGGACCAGCACUGACACUGAGGCACGAAAGCGUGGGGAGCAAACAGG
Molecule: ribosomal RNA, 253 nt
Filed under: uncultured bacterium
Lineage: Bacteria
Description: partial 16S ribosomal RNA
Rfam family: Bacterial small subunit ribosomal RNA
Source: RNAcentral